This 255-nucleotide ribosomal RNA is filed under the name uncultured bacterium. RNAcentral describes it as "partial 16S ribosomal RNA". It matches the Rfam family "Bacterial small subunit ribosomal RNA", at positions 524 to 776 of the family's 1533-position model. The record is from RNAcentral.
UACGGGGGGGAGCAAGCGUUGUUCGGAUUUACUGGGCGUAAAGGGCGCGUAGGCGGCCAGUGCAAGUCAGUUGUGAAAUCUCCGAGCUUAACUCGGAAAGGUCAACUGAUACUGCUCGGCUAGAGUGCGGAAGGGGCAACUGGAAUUCUUGGUGUAGCGGUGAAAUGCGUAGAUAUCAAGAGGAACACCUGCGGCGAAGGCGGGUUGCUGGGCCGACACUGACGCUGAAGUGCGAAAGCUAGGGGAGCGAACGGG